GGUAGUUGCCAGCAAGUAGCGUUGGGCACUCUAGCCAGACUGCCGGUGAUAAAUCGGAGGAAGGUGGGGACGACGUCAAAUCAUCAUGCCCUUUAUGUCCUGGGCUACACACGUACUACAAUGGCCGUUACAACGGGAAGCGAAGGAGCAAUCCGGAGCAAAUCCCUUAAAGGCGGUCCCAGUUCAGAUUGUGGGCUGAAACUCGCCCACAUGAAGGCGGAAUUGCUAGUAAUUGCAGAUCAGCAUGCUGCAGUGAAUACGUUCCCGGGCCUU
RNAcentral lists this ribosomal RNA (273 nucleotides) under uncultured Oscillospiraceae bacterium. Its description in RNAcentral is "partial 16S ribosomal RNA". It matches the Rfam family "Bacterial small subunit ribosomal RNA", at positions 1110 to 1382 of the family's 1533-position model. The record is from RNAcentral. Lineage: Bacteria; Bacillati; Bacillota; Clostridia; Eubacteriales; Oscillospiraceae.